GACGUAGGGUCCAAGCGUUGUCCGGAUUUACUGGGCGUAAAGAGCGCGCAGGCGGUCGUUCAAGUCGCGUGUGAAAGCCCCCGGCUCAACUGGGGAGGGUCACGCGAUACUGAUCGACUCGAAGGCAGGAGAGGGUAGUGGAAUUCCCGGUGUAGUGGUGAAAUGCGUAGAUAUCGGGAGGAACACCAGUGGCGAAGGCGACUACCUGGCCUGUUCUUGACGCUGAGGCGCGAAGGCUAGGGGAGCAAACGGG
RNAcentral lists this ribosomal RNA (253 nucleotides) under uncultured bacterium. Its description in RNAcentral is "partial 16S ribosomal RNA". It matches the Rfam family "Bacterial small subunit ribosomal RNA", at positions 524 to 776 of the family's 1533-position model. The record is from RNAcentral.